Molecule: ribosomal RNA, 488 nt
Filed under: uncultured bacterium
Lineage: Bacteria
Description: bacterial SSU rRNA
Rfam family: Bacterial small subunit ribosomal RNA
Source: RNAcentral
AACGUACUCGAGGACAGGUGCUGCAUGGCUGUCGUCAGCUCGUGUUGUGAAAUGUUGGGUUAAGUCCCGCAACGAGCGCAACCCUUAUCCUUUGUUGCCAGCGGUCCGGCCGGGAACUCAAAGGAGACUGCCAGUGAUAAACUGGAGGAAGGUGGGGAUGACGUCAAGUCAUCAUGGCCCUUACGAGUAGGGCUACACACGUGCUACAAUGGCGCAUACAAAGAGAAGCGACCUCGCGAGAGCAAGCGGACCUCAUAAAGUGCGUCGUAGUCCGGAUUGGAGUCUGCAACUCGACUCCAUGAAGUCGGAAUCGCUAGUAAUCGUGGAUCAGAAUGCCACGGUGAAUACGUUCCCGGGCCUUGUACACACCGCCCGUCACACCAUGGGAGUGGGUUGCAAAAGAAGUAGGUAGCUUAACCUUCGGGAGGGCGCUUACCACUUUGUGAUUCAUGACUGGGGUGAAGUCGUAACAAGGUAAGCGUAGUGCU